Molecule: ribosomal RNA, 253 nt
Filed under: uncultured bacterium
Lineage: Bacteria
Description: partial 16S ribosomal RNA
Rfam family: Bacterial small subunit ribosomal RNA
Source: RNAcentral
UACGUAGGGGGCAAGCGUUGUCCGGAUUUAUUGGGCGUAAAGAGCGUGUAGGCGGCCAUGUAGGUCCGGUGUGAAAACUCGAGGCUUAACCUCGAGAUGUCAUCGGAAACCAUUUGGCUAGAGUCCGGAAGAGGAGAGUGGAAUUCCUGGUGUAGCGGUGAAAUGCGCAGAUAUCAGGAGGAACACCAAUGGCGAAAGCAGCUCUCUGGGACGGUACUGACGCUGAGACGCGAAAGCGUGGGGAGCGAACAGG